CCUACGGGAGGCAGCAGUGGGGAAUUUUGCGCAAUGCUCGUAAGAGUGACGCAGCGACGCCGCGUGAAUGACGAAGGCCUUCGGGUCGUAAAGUUCUUUCGACAGGGAAGAAAAUGCCUAUAAGUAACUGUGUAUGUAUUGACGGUACCUGUAUAAGCAGCCCCGGCUAACUCCGUGCCAGCAGCCGCGGUAAUACGGAGGGGGCGAGCGUUGUUCGGAGGGACUGGGCGUAAAGAGCACGUAGGCGGUGUUGUAAGUCAUUAGUCAAAGACUAGAGCUCAACUUUAGUAAGGCUAGUGAUACUAUAAUACUAGAGUAUCAGAGAGGAUUGCAGAAUUCCUGGUGUAGCGGUGAAAUGCGGAGAUAUCAGGAGGAAUACCGUUAGCGAAGGCGGCAAUCUGGCUGGAAACUGACGCUGAGGUGCGAAAGCGUGGGUAGCAAACAGGAUUAGAUACCCCUGUAGUC
This 465-nucleotide ribosomal RNA is filed under the name uncultured bacterium. RNAcentral's name for it is "partial 16S ribosomal RNA". It matches the Rfam family "Bacterial small subunit ribosomal RNA", at positions 338 to 795 of the family's 1533-position model. The record is from RNAcentral.